UUGAGAAUGUGUACUUACAUUACGCUCACUUUAAUGGGCUUGACAUUGAGAUUAUAUAUCAAUAUGCCUGCUCACGGUUAUGAAAAAUGAAUGGGGGAGAACUGUAUAGCAGACUUGGACUCUGUUGUUGUGUUACACUGGAUUCACUUUUGUGAGUGAAGUGGAAAUUUGAGACUAUGAAUGAGUUCCAACUCAAAUAGACUGUAUGAAAAGAGUUCCAGUUUGUAUCCCUUUUUUUUAAUAAGUUUGACUGUUCACUAGAACUUUGCACAAAGCAAGUGAUUAGCCAGUGGUUCAUGUGCUACAAUGCUGAUGUUGGGGACAACAUAUAUUUUGAGGGGGAGUAUGUGACAGGUUAAAAAUGGUUAAAAAUGGUUAAUAUUGGAAAUGGUAAGGUAUUGGAAUUAUUAUUCAAAUUACUUUGUAAGUAUGUUCUAUACGGUUUAAAAGAAUAUCUUUCAUAUUUCUAGAAUUGCUGAAAUAUUACUAAUAGGGUAAAUACUGUGUAAUUUGCAAUUUGAGUGUUUGAUGGUUUGUAAAUCGAUUGCUUCUGACGUGCAUAGCGGUGUGUUCUUUGCGCCUGCGCAAAAAAGUGUGUGUGCUCUUUGGAAUAAAGCAACGAGGAAGUUGGAAGUCGACUGCUUCUCUGUCCAUUUAUUUGUUCCAAAGCAACCACCUUACCUCUCCCACACUGUUGGAGCGGAGGGCGCAACACCACCACUCUCCCACCUUGCAAGGGAAGCUGCUUUGGCUCUGAUGACGCUAAAGUCUACAUUCAGCACUUUUUGCAACAGUACUACAGUGUGUACGACUCUGGAGACAGACAGUCACUGCUGGGUGCCUACCAUGAUGAGGCAUUAUUUUCAAUAACAACACCGUACAACAUCCAGAAUCCAUCAGGGUAAGGACACACACAGAGACACACACACACACACACACACACACACAGACACACACAUACACGUGCUGCUGAUUUCUUUGUUUUUCAGGAGCGUUCUGAGAGAAUAUUUCAAAGACAGUAGAAACCUGAAGAGGACCAAAGACUCCAGUAAGUUCUCCUGAAGUCAACGUAUGACUUGUAAUGAUUAGGGUUGGGUGCCGAAACCUGGAACGAGUAUGGGACCAGUUCCCAUGGAAACGCUAGUAACCAAUAAGAACAAAGAUUUCGGUGCCACACAUUACUUGAUACACAUGACGUUGUUGUUGCUGAUCAGAUCAUUGAUCAAUGACCUCAUUUCUAACAGUAGCACAUGCACAAAACACGGCCUGAAAGAAGGUGCGUGACACUAUCCGCC
This 1295-nucleotide long non-coding RNA is filed under the name Gouania willdenowi (blunt-snouted clingfish). RNAcentral's name for it is "lncRNA (ENSGWIG00000024592.1)". The record is from RNAcentral. Lineage: Eukaryota; Metazoa; Chordata; Actinopteri; Blenniiformes; Gobiesocidae.